RNAcentral lists this ribosomal RNA (254 nucleotides) under uncultured bacterium. RNAcentral describes it as "partial 16S ribosomal RNA". It matches the Rfam family "Bacterial small subunit ribosomal RNA", at positions 524 to 776 of the family's 1533-position model. The record is from RNAcentral.
UACGUAGGCAGCGAGCGUUGUUCGGAAUUACUGGGCGUAAAGAGCUCGUAGGCGGUUUCGUAAGUCGGAUGUGAAAACUCCAGGCUCAACUUGGAGACGCCAUUUGAUACUGCGAUGACUUGAGUCCGGUAGGGGAGUGUGGAAUUCCUGGUGUAGCGGUGAAAUGCGCAGAUAUCAGGAGGAACACCGGCGGCGAAGGCGGCACUCUGGGCCGGUACUGACGCUGAGGAGCGAAAGCGUGGGUAGCAAACAGG